RNAcentral lists this ribosomal RNA (586 nucleotides) under Clostridioides difficile. Its description in RNAcentral is "bacterial LSU rRNA". It matches the Rfam family "Bacterial large subunit ribosomal RNA", at positions 857 to 1451 of the family's 2925-position model. The record is from RNAcentral. Lineage: Bacteria; Bacillati; Bacillota; Clostridia; Peptostreptococcales; Peptostreptococcaceae.
CCCCGAAAUAGCUUUAGGGCUAGCCUCAAGGUGAGAGAUACGGAGGUAGAGCACUGAAUGUCCUAGGGGGUAUUGCACCUAACGACGACUAUCAAACUCCGAAUGCCGUCAUCUUAUACUUGGGAGUCAGACUGUGGGUGAUAAGAUUCAUAGUCGAAAGGGCAACAGCCCAGAUCGUCAGCUAAGGUCCCUAAAUGUAAGUUAAGUGGUAAAGGAUGUGGGAUUGCACAGACAACCAGGAUGUUGGCUUAGAAGCAGCCACUCAUUCAAAGAGUGCGUAAUAGCUCACUGGUCGAGUGAUCCUGCGCCGAAGAUUUCCGGGGCUAAAACUUACUACCGAAGCUACGGCAUCAGUAAUGAUGGGUAGGGGAGCUUCCCAUACGGGUUGAAGCAGGACCGUAAGGACAUGUGGACAGUAUGGGAGUGAGAAUGUUGGCAUGAGUAGCGAGAUGUGGGUGGGAAUCCCACAGGCCGUAAACCCAAGGUUUCCAGGGGAAGGUUCGUCCACCCUGGGUUAGUCGGGACCUAAGCUGAGGCCGAAAGGCGUAGGUGAUGGACAACAGGUUGAUAUUCCUGUACUACCGAU